This 1230-nucleotide long non-coding RNA is filed under the name Sorghum bicolor (sorghum). Its description in RNAcentral is "long non-coding RNA (SBIC_LNC017701)". The record is from RNAcentral. Lineage: Eukaryota; Viridiplantae; Streptophyta; Magnoliopsida; Poales; Poaceae.
GGCUGGAUGGUACCAGAAUUUCCCGCCACCACAGUGAGCGAAGAUCUAGCUUGGGGGAGAUCCUCUCCCCCACUAAGGUAAGUAUUCUAUCCUAUUUAUUUUCAUGCAUUUUAUCAUUCUUACUUAAAAAAUAAAUAAAUAUUUAUUAGCAUUUCCCUUUAGCAUAUAUGCUUCAUGUAUGUUUAUAUCCCUCAUGGAAAUGAUGACUAGUUGCUUGUUAAUGUUUCUCUAGUACCUAGUAUACAACUUAGUAUUUCUCUAAGUAUGGAUCACUUAGCUCACUUAAACUGCCAUGAACCCAAAAACUUUGUGGGUUGCAAGUGCUAGAACUAAGUCUAAGUUGUUGUGGGACAUGAGAUAGUAAGACAAGAGCUACUAUAAUAUUUUUUUAAGCAUGCAUGAUUAUCAGAGAUUUAUUCUUAAAAUGAUCAAAACCUUAAUUGUUCCUCAAUGGUGAUGAAUUCCUACCACAGCCAUAUCUACUUUACAUAAUUGCAACCUUUCCACAUAAGCUAUUUGCUUUGGGUUGAGUGUCGUCAAGUCUUGUUGACCCUUGUUAAGAGACUUUUCAUGCUCCUAAGAUCAAGAUCACGUACACACCACAUAUAUAUAUGCUGCUUCUACACUGGAAGUACGCAACCACAUGUAUUUCGCAUCCACUAAAUAGGUUGCUCCAUACUCUAAAUGUUAGAACAUCUCUCUAAGCAUUAUUUGGUAAAUGAGACAUCAAAAGGGCUAGGCAAAAUGAAAUAAAAAGAUGGACAUGUGCAAGUCCACAGAAAAAGAAAAUUGAGCACAUGAAAGCUCAUAUAUAUAUAAAAAAAAAGAAGAAAAAAAUGCUAGCCAUGUCUCAAUACAUAGAGAGUCUAUCAAAUAAAGGAGCAACCUAGUCCACCAUAUAUCACACUUGCACAUCUUGAUCUGGGAGUAUGACACUUCUCUUCAAGGAUCCGAGCUUUGACUUCGCAAUACAUGCAAAGUAAGUAUGCUAUCUCCUUUCAUCCCUACCUUGAACUCCACAUAAGCCUUUUAGAAAUAGGAUGAAAUAGAGAAGGCAACUCUUACCAUAUGCCUUGGUGAGGAAUCAUACACCAUUUGAGUGACAUGAGAGAACCAUAAGAGGAACAUUUAAGCUUUCUUUUGAAAAUAUCACAAAACCUCUGAUAUGAAACUUGCUAAGAAUGAGAAAGUUAGUGCUCAAGUCAAACUGUUCUGUCUCUCAACCACCUA